Molecule: long non-coding RNA, 464 nt
Organism: Capsicum annuum
Lineage: Eukaryota; Viridiplantae; Streptophyta; Magnoliopsida; Solanales; Solanaceae
Exons: 3
Source: RefSeq, a predicted model, not a curated record
UUUUUAUCAACUAACAAUGUUUUAGUCAUUUAAGUUCAUUUUAUUUUUCACUUAGUUUACGCGUAUACCACUGCUCAAUACACGUGGCUUCCAUGCUUUACCAUCAAAUUUUUCUCAACUAUGUUGGAUAUCUUCAUCUAGUAUUCUUCAUCCUCCUCCAUUACUAUUGCAAUGUCAAGGUACAAGCCGAUGAGAUUCAAUUUCUCCAUAUAGACAUGGUGUCUUCAAGUCCAUCGAAUUUUACAAGAUUGAUUAUGAAUUGAUCGAGAUUCAACUUAAAGUGGUAAGCUUUCAUGCUUCGAAAGGCCCUAUUUAAGGAUUAUAUGUUUUCCUUUUUAGUUAUAGACUAUUGGAUACUGUUUUUGGCUAUAGUUGGGGGCAUGUCCUGACACUUUAUUGAUAUUUGGUUUGAUUGAGGCUUUGUCGGACUACUGUGGACUUGAGAUGGUUUGGUUGUUGGCUGG